AAGUAUAAUCUGCUCUGUGAAAAUUUUAACGGCUGCAGUAUUUUGACUGUGCUAAGGUAGCAUAAUAAUUUGCCCCUUAAUUAGGGGCUGGGAUGAAUGGUUUGACGAGAAAAAAUCUUUCUAAAUUUUAAAAUUAAAUUUUCUUAAAAGGUCAAAAAGCCUUUAUAAUUUAGUGGGACGAUAAGACCCUAUAAAACUUUUACUCUAAAUUAAUAAAUAUUAUUAUGAAAUUUUUUUUUAUAAAGAGUUGUGCUGGGGCGGCAUUUUUUUAAUUUGAUUACAACUUAUUUUUAAACAAUUUUUUGAAUUUUUUAAACCUAAUUUAAUAAUUAAGAACAAGUUACUUUAGGGAUAACAGCACAAUAUUUUUUUAGAGUUCCUAUCGACAAAAAUGUUUAUGACCUCGAUGUUGAAUUGAGAAUUCUUUAAUGGGCAGUUUCAUAAAAAGAAAGUCUGUU
This 458-nucleotide ribosomal RNA is filed under the name Furcarcturus polarsterni. Its description in RNAcentral is "partial 16S small subunit ribosomal RNA". It matches the Rfam family "Bacterial large subunit ribosomal RNA", at positions 1850 to 2581 of the family's 2925-position model. Lineage: Eukaryota; Metazoa; Arthropoda; Malacostraca; Isopoda; Arcturidae. The record is from RNAcentral.